AUGCAGUGGAGGAAGUAUACCUACAACUAUGUUCACGGCCACUCCGGAAUAUUUGCCAUGCUACUCCCUCACCGAUCGGUUAACUGGGUUCAGGCGCCGUACGACUCUAUACUCGAGGCGGCAAGCCAGUGCCAUCUUAUCAACAGCGAAACGGACCGGGAGGUCAGGAGGUUGACGGAUCAAACAUGCUACGAUGCAUUCCGGGCCCUGGACAAGUUUUCACUGAACAUUAAUUGCCAUGGAUGGGCUCUGGCCAGGUGCCGUCGCAUAUACUCCUAUGACGUCUACCAAUGCAGCGUCCUGGUGCCAAACGUGCAAGGACCAAAGACCAUCUUCGACUGCGCGCCGACCCUACGACCAACGAACCCGGACGAGAGAGACAGACCCCCGUCCGGAUCAACCCCGUCGAGAAGGGCAGAUAAGGGGAAGGGUAAAGCGCCUGCUCAAAGAAAAGCUAAGAGUCGUAGAACUGAUAGGACAAGCGGCUCAGGCAGAGCAAAUCCAUCACAUACCGGGGUCUCUACACAGGCUCCAGGAUUUUGUACACUGGAGGCUCUCCAUACGCUGGGGGUGCUCCAUAUGCUGGUGGCUCCUCAUACCCUGGAGACACUGUACCCGCGGGCUAUUCCCCUCCCAGAACUCCUCGGCAUACUACGCAUGCAGAGCCCACUAGUUUCAAUAUACUUGAUUGCUUUAGGGACGAUCCCUCACUCGAUUCAAUCUUCAGAACUUCAAGUCCUGCAAAUCUUCCUCCCAAUCUACCCCCUGGAUACAUUAGAGAUGAAUCAUUCAAUGUAGAUGAAAUGGUAGGUGCGGGUCAUUCAGGCGGUCAAAAUGCACCUUAUAAUUUUCCACAACUUCCCGCAAGUCCACAACUACCAGGAAGCCCACAACAUCGUGCAUGGUCACCAACCACUAUUCCUCCAGGAUACAUUCUGGAUGAAUCAUUUGGUAUAGAUGCGUAUACGAACCAGGAAGACUUCGAAUCCAGUUCUCCGCUCAGAGGCUCCUUGGGAUCUCCGGAUGAAGGCACGUAUAUCUUACUCCGAUUUCCCAGACAAAUAUUCACUACUUCUUCGUGAGUUCUUUAAACUCCCGUAGAAUGUCGUGAAAAAUCUAGGAAUCAUGUGAAGUUACAUGUAAAACUCAUAGUAAAGUGAGGAAUGUUAAGAGAAAUUCACUACUCAACGCUGAUUUGAUUUGAUUGUAGGUGAACUAAGCAGUGAAAGUGUGCACCACAUGCUAUAGUAUUUAAUGAUUACUUUGCUCGGAUUUAUCCCAUCCAAUGAACAGCUGCACAUCUCAACGCAACAUUUCUGCACAUAGCUCAUGAAAAUGGCAAUGGUUUCAAUGACUCAAAAAACUUCAAAGUACACGAAACUCUCAAUGAACAAAACCGGCAAAAACCCGGCAAAUACGGGCAUUUCAAUUGUGAAGGAGUUUGCUUCAGUAAUUUUCUAAAUUCGUACUCUAUAUGAAAUUUUGAAGAGGGAAGCGUACAUCAAAACACUUAAAUCUGACUUUGUUAAGUGGUCUUUUCAGAGCCGUGACGUCCUUUGGGCAAAGAGGAGCAGUUACCCAAAGCGCCAACAAAAAAGGCAGUUAAAGUAAGACAAAAAGAAAAGGCGGGCGAAACGAAAGAGGAGAUAAAAGCGAAAAGAAGGGGAAAAAAUCGAAGAAAAAAAAUCCGAAAUGAAAAGAAAACGGGGGAGGGGGGGGGAGCGAGGAGAGAGCAUUCGUUUUAGAACCCAUAAUGAGGAGAUCAAUGCUGGUAUUCUUAGGUUAGGUAAGGUUAUGCGAUGAUGUUACCUCCUGUAGAACGAUUUUAUUUUGUAAGGAGAAAGGUACUCUCAAAUGUUAGGAGGCAUGUUUAAUAAAAGGCAAGGUCACGCCGUGCGCCAUCGUGCCUUCAAUUUUGCAGAUGCAACACGGACAUCCAUCAAGCACAAAUAAUUGUAUCUUUGCGCCGUCAUCAACGAGCGUCCUUUUCCCUUGCUUUGCUCUUUAUUUCCGUAUGUCUUAUUUAUGGUGGUGCUUCAACGGCUACUUGAGCAACACUAGCCGAAGAUAAGAGAGACGACAUAUUCAGGCCUCUUUUUUCAACUUUACUCCCGAAUCCGAGCGACACCUCAUCCGUAGAAUAGAGCGGAGCAUUGUGAGGCCACGCCUCGCGCCAUUGCGCCUUCAAUUUUGUUGAUGCAACACGGGCAUCCACCAAGAGCGAAUAGUUGCACGAGGGUAUUCGUAAAGUAAGUAUAUAUCUUUAUUUUCUCCGAAACUAAUGAAGAUAAAUUAAAUCGGUAAAAAUUGUUUUUACCGCCAUACGCUCAGCUUUUCCGAGAGCCUUUGUUUUUUAAAUGUGGUCUACCGAUUCGCGACUGACGUCUUUUUCCUCGCGCGCUCGUUACCGCGUGUCCAAAAUAUUUGAGCGCAGCAGCUCCUCAGACGAGUACAUGUUUUAACUAUGGUGUUUUGGGACGCUCAAGGAAUAUUGCUAAUCGAUUUUUGGAGAGAGGAAAAGCAAUCGAUGCCACUAGAUAUUGUGAAGUUUUGAAAAAACUGAAGUCUACGAUCAAGCGAAAACGGCCUGGUCUUUUGUCUCGUCAAGUUUUGCUCCUUCAAGACAACACUAGGCCUCAUGUGGCUCAUGUGACUCAAGACUUGUUCGCCUCAUUCAAAUGGGACCUUUUUUCUCAUCCACCGUGCUCACCGGACCUUGCUCCAAGCGAUUUUCAACUUUUUCCUGCGUGAAAGAAGAGCUUGGGUGGCCAAAAGUUCUCCACCGACGCAGAGUUGCAAGAAGCUGUAAAAAAAUGUUUCCAACGACAGUAUGCGCAAUUUUUUGAAGAUGGAAUCCACAAACUGCUAACACGGUAUCAGAAAUGUUUUCAACGGGGUGGAGAUUAUGUCGAAAAGUAAGGUAAGACAAUUCAAAGCCAAAAAGCUUCACAUAUUAUCCAAUUAACUGUGUUACAACCUUCUUUACGGUGAAAACAUGUACUCGUCUGAGGAGCUUCGCCGCGCUCGAAUAUUUUCGAUACGCGGUGGCGAGAAAUGGGCGCGGGAAAAAUGACGUCACUCGCGAACCGGUAAACCAAAUUUAAAAUACGAAGGUUUUUCGAAAAGCUGAGAGUAUGGCGGUAAAAACAGUUUUUACCGUUUUAAUUUAUCUUCGUUGGUUUCGGAGAAAAUAAAGAUAUACUUACUUUACGAAUGCCCCUCGUAUCUCUGCGCCGUCAUCAACGCGCGUCCUUUCCAUUACCCUAUUUCUAUACUUUGUGAGAGAGUUGAUAGAUUUUGAACCGAGAAAAAUCAAGGCAAGUCCAAAGCAGUCUAAUGUCCAGCGCGUCAAUUUACACCAAUUUUUUGUAGGGGGGGGGGGGAGAGCACAGCCAAAUGCCCACUUAUCUAAACUACGGUUGGAGUUUUCAAAAGCCUUGAAAUAUUGAAUUUGCAUUGAUUUGAUAGUCUUUGAAAUUCCAAAAUUCCAAGGAAAAGGAUCCCUCCCAGACCCCUUCUCCUUCUUGGUGGGUCCUCACCAGACCCUCCUAUGGGGACACUAAAAACAUCCUAGCCCCGCGCGCUGAGGGUUCUCGCAACUGUCCUGGGUCCUUUGUCAAUUUCAACAUGCGCUUUACUCCUCACCUCAUGACCUUAUCUAAUGGGCUGGUACCCGCAGCUACUAUCUUCUUGUUUUUCUCUAUUAUAAUGAAAGUUUAUCAUUGUUGAAGGUGGAGCAAAAGACACGACGGCCUGGACGUGUCCCGAACCCGAUUGCGGAGCAAUACUCACAAAUAAAAGUUCAAUAAAAGUGCAUAAAUGGAAACAUAAUACGGUUCGCCUGGGAUAUACCACAUGCAGAAGUGUGGUCAGGUCUUCGCCAGUGUGGAGGCCCUCGAUCAUCAUAUCAAUGCACACUUCGACAGUGAGUCCACAGAUCCUUCGCCCAAUGUUCUUGUGCGAAUCGGCGCACCUUUUAUUUAACUCAUAAUACUAGAGUUGUCUGCGGAUACCGGUGGAGAAAUUUUACUCGUAUGAAUGGUCCCUGGACACAAGACCGAAAAUCAUUUGACCUGUAAAACGAAUGACCUCCAAUUUCAGCCUGAGAUACUUGACCUGCAAAAUUUUACUCUUCGGACUUUUUAAAAGCGGGCUUGCCUAGGAUUUGAGUCCAAAAAUAUGCAAUAAGUCUACACGUAAUUUGCUCAUCUAGUACUUUCAGAAUAUUAAGUUAAAAACGCAAGGUCGAGUGACCUAUUUUGGUGUGUUUUACGAUGGAA
RNAcentral lists this long non-coding RNA (4280 nucleotides) under Bemisia tabaci. Its description in RNAcentral is "lncRNA ENSSSA3NGG012333". The record is from RNAcentral. Lineage: Eukaryota; Metazoa; Arthropoda; Insecta; Hemiptera; Aleyrodidae.